This 578-nucleotide ribosomal RNA is filed under the name uncultured bacterium. RNAcentral describes it as "bacterial SSU rRNA". It matches the Rfam family "Bacterial small subunit ribosomal RNA", at positions 971 to 1533 of the family's 1533-position model. The record is from RNAcentral.
UUACCUACCCUUGACAUGCCACUAACGAAGCAGAGAUGCAUUAGGUGCCCGAAAGGGAAAGUGGACACAGGUGCUGCAUGGCUGUCGUCAGCUCGUGUCGUGAGAUGUUGGGUUAAGUCCCGCAACGAGCGCAACCCUUGUCUCUAGUUGCUACGCAAGAGCACUCUAGAGAGACUGCCGGUGACAAACCGGAGGAAGGUGGGGAUGACGUCAAGUCCUCAUGGCCCUUAUGGGUAGGGCUUCACACGUCAUACAAUGGUGCGUACAGAGGGUUGCCAACCCGCGAGGGGGAGCUAAUCCCAGAAAACGCAUCGUAGUCCGGAUCGUAGUCUGCAACUCGACUACGUGAAGCUGGAAUCGCUAGUAAUCGCGGGUCAGCAUGCCGCGGUGAAUACGUUCCCGGGUCUUGUACACACCGCCCGUCACACCAUGGGAGUGGGUUUUGCCAGAAGUAGUUAGCCUAACCGCAAGGAGGGCGAUUACCACGGCAGGGUUCAUGACUGGGGUGAAGUCGUAACAAGGUAGCCGUAUCGGAAGGUGCGGCUGGAUCACCUCCUUAAGGGCGAAUUCCACAGUGG